AGAAUGAACGCUGGCGGCGUGCUUAACACAUGCAAGUCGCACGAGGCGGGGGGGGCAACCCCUCCAGUCGAGUGGCGGACGGGUGAGUAACACGUGGGUAACCUGCCCGGAUGUGGGGAAUACCUCGGGGAAACUCGAGCUAAUACCGCAUGACAUCUUCGGGACGAAAGUCCUGACGAUCAAAGCGGGGUCGCAAGAUCUCGCGCUUCCGGAUGGGCCCGCGCCCGAUUAGCUAGUUGGCGAGGUAACGGCUCACCAAGGCGACGAUCGGUAGCCGGCCUGAGAGGGUGAUCGGCCACACCGGAACUGAGACACGGUCCGGACUCCUACGGGAGGCAGCAGUGGGAAUCUUGUGCAAUGGGCGAAAGCCUGACGCAGCAACGCGCGUGGAGGAUGAAGGCCCUUGGUUCGUAAACUCCUGUCGGCUGGAAGAAAUCGGUUCGGGCUAAGUACCCCGGACGUUGACUGUACCAGCAAAGGAGCCCCGGAUAACCUCUAGU
This 500-nucleotide ribosomal RNA is filed under the name uncultured soil bacterium. RNAcentral's name for it is "bacterial SSU rRNA". It matches the Rfam family "Bacterial small subunit ribosomal RNA", at positions 26 to 508 of the family's 1533-position model. The record is from RNAcentral.